UAGCGGCGAGCGAACGUAGCGGCGAGCGAACGGGGAGCAGCCCAGAGUCUUAAUCAGCAUUAGCAUCAGGAGAACGGUCUGGAAAGUCCGGCAGUAAAGGGUGAUAGCCCCGUAUCCGAAGGUGUUAGUGUUGUGAACUCGACGAGUAGGGCGGGACACGUGUUAUCCUGUCUGAAUAUGGGGGGACCAUCCUCCAAGGCUAAAUACUCCUGAUUGACCGAUAGUGAACCAGUACCGUGAGGGAAAGGCGAAAAGAACCCCGGCGAGGGGAGUGAAAUAGAACCUGAAACCGUGUACGUACAAGCAGUGGGAGCCCCAUCACUCAAGUGCCUCGGCAAUUGAGUGAUGGUGUAAAACCAUCACAAUAACAGCGCAGGAUUUGCCAACAAGAUUGGCUGAUUUUUUCAAGCCGCAGCGCAGUGGACAUCGAAGUCCAUGAGCAGCGGAAGUUAAAAAAUCGGGCAAGAUUGGCCGCAAAGCCAAGCGGGACAUUUGAGGAUGGGGUGACUGCGUACCUUUUGUAUAAUGGGUCAGCGACUUAUAUUCUGUAGCAAGGUUAACCGUAUAGGGGAGCCGUAGGGAAACCGAGUCUUAACUGGGCGAAUAAGUUGCAGGGUAUAGACCCGAAACCCGGUGAUCUAGCCAUGGGCAGGUUGAAGGUUGGGUAACACUAACUGGAGGACCGAACCGACUAAUGUUGAAAAAUUAGCGGAUGACUUGUGGCUGGGGGUGAAAGGCCAAUCAAACCGGGAGAUAGCUGGUUCUCCCCGAAAGCUAUUUAGGUAGCGCCUUGUGAACUCAUCUUCGGGGGUAGAGCACUGUUUCGACUAGGGGGUCAUCCCGACUUACCAACUCGAUGCAAACUACGAAUACCGAAGAAUGUUAUCACGGGAGACACACGGCGGGUGCUAACGUUCGUCGUGAAGAGGGAAACAACCCAGACCGCCAGCUAAGGUCCCAAAGUCAUAGUUAAGUGGGAAACGAAGUGGGAAGGCUCAGACAGCCAGGAUGUUGGCUUAGAAGCAGCCAUCAUUUAAAGAAAGCGUAAUAGCUCACUGGUCGAGUCGGCC
RNAcentral lists this ribosomal RNA (1070 nucleotides) under Providencia rettgeri. RNAcentral describes it as "partial 23S ribosomal RNA". It matches the Rfam family "Bacterial large subunit ribosomal RNA", at positions 244 to 1159 of the family's 2925-position model. Lineage: Bacteria; Pseudomonadati; Pseudomonadota; Gammaproteobacteria; Enterobacterales; Morganellaceae. The record is from RNAcentral.